UCAACCUCCAUCCAGUGUGCGUGAGCUUUUGCAGGGAAGAUAGUGGAAAUAGGGCAGGUUCGGGGACUGGAUACAAUUGUCUUGUUGGCAUGAAUUAUUCUAUGUGCAUGAUUUCUAAAUGAUAGGCUAUUCAUUGCGGUGCUGCACACAACCCUGAUCUGCUUUCUAGAACGGUGGAUCUACCAACAAGCUCACCGUGGGUUUGUAACCAUUGCAACCUGCGCUCGUGCUUAACUUCGGAAACUAUGAAGAGUCAAUUUCGAGACGCACAAGAUUUGUACAAUUCAGUGGUAACUGUUCCUUGCCAUAGGAUCGUUAGCUGUAUAUGAGUAGCAUAUAUGUCGUGACUUAACAGUAACACUGAUUUUCAAUGGUUGUAGUGCCCACUAUCUUGGUUUAUUAUUGCAGAUUGCACAAUUUCAUGCGAAACCAGACAUGAAUAUACAGGAGGUGGAUUCAUAUCACCAGACUGUUUACCUGUGUUGAAAUAUCUUGCAUGCCUUGUGCAUAGAAUGUAUGUGAGGAAACGUGCGUAAUGUUGACUUUGGAUGUAUGGAGAUGUCGAGCAACUGAGGAUCCAUAAGAACAUAUAAGAGUGAUUGUCAACCAAAACAGACAUUGAAAAAAUGAGUCAAGAUGAAGGGAUAUCAUUGUCGGUUCCCUCCUUUGGUCCUGGCUCGGGCCCUGAGGGUGCCUGCGGGGACUCUGCUGGCUCCCGGGAAGAGAGCGUGAGCGGUGCCCUCAUUCCCGCGGCUGGGACAUUCUGGCACGACUCGGUGGUCAGCGGAAGCAUCAUUCCUAAUAUUCUGAGCUGCCCGAAGGACAGUGGCGGCUUGUUGUCUACGGUGAAAUGUAAAAGCAGGGCUGUCACAGUGGCAUAUGUCGUCAACAGCGAGCUCACUCAGCCGCACACCGCAGAGAACAUGGCCCUGCAUUGCCUGAAAGACGCGUGCGACUCCGUGGGAAGUAAACUGGAAAUCAUACACUUUGGAAAGAUCGACUUUGGAGAGACGUGUGUGCUUGACCAGUUCUAUAAUGCAGACAUAGCUGUGGUGGAGAUGACGGACGCUUUUCGCCAGCCCUCCCUGUUCUACCACCUGGGUGUGAGGGAGAGCUUCAGCAUGGCCAACAACAUCAUCCUGUACUGUGACACCAACUCUGACUCGCUUCAGUCCCUGCAGGAUAUUAUUUGCCAGAAGAACACUACAUGCUCAGCCAACUACAGCUUCAUCCCGUACAUGGUGACGCCGCACAACAAGGUGUACUGCUGCGAGAGCAGCCUGAUGAAGGGCCUGACAGAGCUGAUGCAGCCCAGCUUCGAGAUGCUGCUGGGACCAAUCUGCAUAUCCCUGCUGGACCGCUUCAUCCAGCUGUUCAAGGUGCCCCAGGCUAACUCCUGCCAAUACUUCAGAGAAACCAUUCUCAACGAGAUUCGGAAAGCGCGGGAAUUGUUCACAGGGAUGGAGCUGGCCUCAGAACUCAGCCGAAUUCAACAACGAUUGGACAACGUAGAGUGCCUUUCAGCUGACAUCGUCAUCAACCUGCUUCUGUCCUACAGGGACAUCCAGGAUUAUGAAUCCAUAGUGAAGCUGGUGGAGACCUUGGAGAAGCUUCCUACAUUCGACCCUGUGGCCAAUCCCCAUGUCAAGUUCCACCAUGCCUUUGCACUGAAUCGGAGGAACCUCCCAGGGGACCGUCAGAAGGCCCUGGACAUCAUGCUGCCCCUGGUGAAGGCUGACAACCAGGUGGCCUCAGACAUCUACUGCCUGGUGGGACGCAUCUACAAGGACAUGUUCCUGGAGUCCCACUUCGCUGACAAAGAGAGCAGGGACAGUGGCACGGCCUGGUUUAAGAAGGGGUUUGAGUCUGAGCCAACACUACACUCUGGCAUCAACUACGCCGUUCUACUCCUGGCAGCGGGACACCAGUUUGACGCCUCCUUCGAGCUACGCAAAGUCGGAGUGAAGCUGAGCAGCCUACUGGGGAAGAAGGGCAGCCUGGACAAGCUGCAGAGCUACUGGGAUGUGGGUUUCUUCCUGGGGGCUAGCAUCCUGGCCUGUGACAACACCAGGGUCAUACAGGCCUCCGAGAAACUCUUCAAAUUGAAGGCCCCUGUCUGGUAUCUGCGCUCUCUUGUGGAGACCAUCUUGAUUUACCAGCACUUCAAAAAGCCCUCUGUGGAGCAGCCGCCGCCCAAACAGGAACUGGUGGACUUCUGGAUGGACUUCCUGGUGGAGGCCACAAAGAAAGACGUCUCGUCUGUCCGCUUCCCGGUGUUGAUAUUGGAGCCCACUAAAAUCUAUCUGCCUUCGUACUUGUCCAUAAACAACGAUGUGGAGGAGAACACUGUCUCCAUCUGGCAUGUUUCCCCUGAUGACAAGCACAGGGGGGUCCAUGAGUGGAACUUCAGGGCCAUGUCAGUACGGGGUGUCAGUAUUUCCAAGUUUGACGAGCGCAGUGCCUUCCUGUAUGUGCUGCACAACUCAGAGGACUUUCAGAUCUACUUCUGCACGGAGAUGCACUGCAAAAGGUUCUGUGAUCUGGUCAACAGCAUCGCAGAGGAAGCAUGGAAAGCCCCGGAAGAGGGGGAGUGUGACAUUGACGCCCUAGAGUACGACUAUGAGUAUAAUGAGCACGGAGAGAGGGUGGUUCUGGGAAAAGGGACGUUUGGAGUGGUGUACGCCGGCCGGGACCUUAGCAACCAGGUGCGGCUGGCCAUCAAGGAGAUACCGGAGAGAGACAGCAGGUACUCCCAGCCCCUCCAUGAGGAGAUUGCCCUUCACAAACAUCUGAAGCACAAGAACAUUGUGCAGUACUUGGGCUCCAUCAGCGAGAAUGGUUUUAUCAAGAUCUUCAUGGAGCAGGUUCCCGGAGGAAGCCUGUCUGCUCUGCUAAGGUCUAAAUGGGGUCCUCUGAAGAACAACGAACCCACCAUCGGCUUCUACACCAGACAGAUCCUGGAGGGACUCAAAUACCUCCAUGACAACCAGAUUGCUCACAGAGACAUCAAGGGUGAUAAUGUGCUUAUAAACACAUAUAGCGGAGUUCUGAAGAUAUCUGACUUUGGCACCUCUAAAAGGCUGGCUGGGAUCAACCCCUGGACUGAGACUUUCACUGGGACACUACAGUACAUGGCCCCUGAGAUCAUAGAUAAAGGCCCUCGAGGCUACGGCAAGCCUGCGGACAUCUGGUCUCUUGGCUGCACCAUCAUUGAGAUGGCCACUGGGAAACCACCCUUCUACGAGCUGGGCGAACCACAGGCCGCCAUGUUCAAGGUUGGCAUGUUCAAGAUCCAUCCUGAGAUCCCAGAUUCCAUGUCAAUGGAGGCCAAGGCCUUUAUCCUACGCUGCUUUGAACCCGACCCCGACCAGAGGGCCACCGCCCUGCACCUGCUCACUGAUGAGUUCCUCACCGUCACCAGCCGCAAGAAGAGGGGCAAGAGCAGCUUUACAGCUCUGACACCAGGAGGUUCAGAGUACCUGCGCAGCAUCUCUCUGCCAGUGCCUGUGGUGGUGGAAGACACCAGCAGCAGCAGCGAGUACGGCUCCGUCUCCCCUGAGAACGACCUCAACACCAACCCCUUCAGCUUCAAGCCCAGCACUAAGUGUUACAGUGAUCGGGAUGUCAAAGCAACCCGCUCCCUGUUCCUCAGUAUCCCAGUGGAGAACUUUGAGGACCACAGUGCUCCUCCGUCUCCUGAUGAGAAGGACUCUGGCUUCUUCAUGCUGAGGAAGGACAGCGAGAGGAGGGCCACUCUGCACCGCAUCCUCACUGAGGACAGAGACAAGGUGGUGUCCAACCUCGUGGAGGCUCUCAAACAGGGUUCUGAGACAUCGGACACUAAGUUGAGACAUCAGCAUAUCUCCACCCUGGUGGUCAGUCUGGGGGACUUUGUGCGCAUGGCAGACAGGAAGAUCAUAGCCAACACCCUCUCCCAGCUCAAACUAGAGCUAGACUUUGACAGCACAGCCAUUAGCCAACUCCAAGUGGUGCUAUUUGGGUUCCAGGACGCAGUAAACAAAGUUCUACGAAACCACAACAUCAAGCCCCACUGGAUGUUCGCCCUGGACAAUAUCAUCCGUAAAGCGGUGCAGACUGCCAUCACCAUCCUGGUGCCAGAGCUAAGGCCCCACUUCAGCCUGGCCUCGGAGGAUGACCCGGCCGACCAGGAUAACGUUGACGAUGACGUGGAGCCUGAGGAUAACUCCGUCCAUCAGUGCAGAGCCCCUCCUAACGCUGCCCAUGACAACACGGUCGCCACCUCCGGUGUGAGCACGCUCAGUUCCACCGUCUCACACAGAUCCCAUAAUACCCAGUGCUCCGUCACCAUGGAACUAGGCAGGAUGAAGCUGAAAACCAACAGGCUGAUGGAGCAGCUGCUGGCGAGGGAGAGAGAGUACCAGGCUGUCCUCCAGCAUGUCCUGGAUGAGAGGGAACAGGAGAUCAAACUUCUGAGGAUCCGCUCAGAACCCAUCGAUAUGCCUACAUCAUCUGUGAGCCAGAAGAGCCGGUCCACUGUGAGCCAUGGGGACCCAGAGCUGAUCAAGUGGCUGAGACUCCAUGGGGCUGACGAUGACUCCAUGGACAGGGUAGGUCCUGAGGAAGCCCAGCCCCCGGCCACGUCUGUUUUAAAUGGAUUUUGACCGAGGAUUACACUUUGGAUGACCUUCUCCAGUAUGUGAUGAGAGACGACCUGAAGAGUUUGGGAUUAAGAGGUGGGAUGCUGUGUAAGCUAUGGAAGGCCAUUACAGACUACAGACAGAAACCAGUGUGAGGAGCCCUCGUGUGGAGUUAGCUACCUCUACAGUACAGGACCUUUAGCACAAGCACAACAACAACAACAACUCGGUAUUCUCCUCAACACUCACCACUGCACUUAAAUCUCAGUAAUUAUCAGACCAAGACUCAGUCCUGAUGGGGGACAGUUCCAGUGUAGUUUAUCAUGAAUUGACACAUGAGUUGUUUUUUGGAAAUUACUAUUUUGAAAUGGGGUUAAGUGCCACUGGUUUUAUAAUGUUCAACAGUUAUGACACCGGCGCCAAGAUUUACAGGGCAAACAGUGAAACAUAUCUGAGAAUUUAACCUUUAAAUGUUAUUAGGUUGUAGAAUUUUCUCCUUACUAUCAUGUGUUUACUAUCAUGAGAUUGACCAUUUUCUAAAACAAGCCUGAGAGACAAAAUACAACGUUAACUGAUGUGUUUGAGCUGCUGUACAUUAUCUUGAUAAACAACAUUGCUAUUGCUAGUGGCUUCUUAUCACUAUUUUAUUUAACUGUGUUUUAUGGAUAUGCCCUGCUCUCAUUGCCAUCACUGCAUGCCUGCCCUUUUGUACUUGUUUGUUUAACUGGCAUUGAAGGCUUUGAAACAUCA
Salmo salar (Atlantic salmon) is the source of this 5369-nucleotide non-coding RNA. The record is from RefSeq and is a predicted model, not a curated record. NCBI's taxonomy places the organism in Eukaryota, Metazoa, Chordata, Actinopteri, Salmoniformes, Salmonidae.